Non-coding RNA from Paramarasmius palmivorus, 83 nucleotides. NCBI's taxonomy places the organism in Eukaryota, Fungi, Basidiomycota, Agaricomycetes, Agaricales, Marasmiaceae. The record is from the annotation of a GenBank genome assembly.
UCCCUGGUAGUCUAUUUGCUAGUACACGCGCCUGUCAUUUGCAGGGAUCGCGCGGAAGCUGGGUUCGACUCCCAGCCAGGGAA